GGCCCCGCCUGGCUAAGAUGCUCCUCGUCGGCUGUGAUCGCUGGCGCUGGGUUUGUUUUCCCAGCGUAGCCAGGCCUGGGAGGGAGCGACUACCGCUUCCCUGUUGAUCAUGAGGGGCUCCGGGUCCUACUGAGGUAGUGCACUGUGUUUACUAUGGCAUCAGUGAUCCCAUCAUUUAUCUUCAAGGAGUUUUGCCCCUUGUACUACCUUCUCAAUGCCAUUCCUACAAAAAUCCAAAAAGGAUUUCGUUCCAUUGUGGUUUACUUGACUACACUUGACACUAAUGAGGACUAUAUAGCUGUUGGCAGCAGUAUUGGCAUGCUGUAUUUGUACUGCAGGCAUUUGAAUCGGAUGAAAAAAUACAAUUUUGAGGGGAAGAAUGAAUCCAUUACCGUUGUGAAACUCUUAAACUGCUUUGAUGAUCUUGUUGCAGUGGGAACAGUUUCAGGCAAGAUUGCUAUUUUUCAGCUAGUUUCUUCAUUACCUGGGAGAAACAAACAACUUCGGAGAUUUAAUGUGUCUGGUUUUCACAAAAGUAGCAUUACAGCCUUGGCAUGGAGUGCUAAUGGAAUGAAGUUAUUUUCUGGGGAUGACCGAGGAAAAAUAGUUUAUUCUGCUUUGGAUUUAGAUCAGGGUCUUUGCAAUUCCAGUUUGAUAUUGGAAGAACCAUCUUCAAUUGUUCAGCUAGACUAUAGCCAGAAAGUGUUGUUGAUCUCCACUUUACAACGAACUGUAGUUUUUUAUACUGAAGAAAAAUCUGUCAAACAAGUGGGAACUCAGCCCAGAAAAAGUACAGGCAGAUUUGGUGCCUGUUUUAUACCUGGGCUGUGUAAGCAAAGUGACCUAAUGCUCUUUGCUGCAAGGCCUGGGAUUCGCCUUUGGAAAUCAGAUGUUCAUGGGACGGUUCAAGCCACAUAUCUUUUGAAAGAUGUAUUUGCUGCUGGAAUGAAGCCUUUUGAAUUAUAUCCUCGAGCGGAUUCCUUUAACAAGAGCAGCUGUAAUUUUCCAGAAAGACAGUUUGGACUCAUUUCCUGCUUUUCCCAAGAAGGAUGGGUAUUGAGCUGGAAUGAAUAUAGCAUUUAUGUGUUAGAUACAGUAAACCAGACCAUGAUUGGCAGUUUGGAAGGGUGUGGUGAUAUAGUAUCUGUGUCCUGUACUGAAAAUGAGAUAUUCCUUUUAAAGGGAGACAGAGAUAUCAUUAGAAUCUCAAGCAGGCCUGAAGGAGUGGUGUCAAUAGAUAUAAAUUCACAAGCUUGGACCAGCUUGGAAUCCAAUGUGAGCCCAAAAUUAGAGAGGCCGCAUUCAGUAAUUGCUUCAGUCUCAUGUGAUCCCUCUCCAGAAGCAAAUCCCAAAUCAAGCAACUUCUCUUCACCCCAAACACCUAGUGACAAAAAUGGCUUUGUAGGAAGAGCUGACCAGGAAGUAGCAUUGAUAGCACAGAAAAUUCGCUCACAGAGCUUUGAUGGACUAGGGGACUUGAGCACUGACCCAAGAAGAAGAGGCUACUCUGUAGUCAGUGAGUCAAGAAGCAGGAGCAGCUCUAUGAAUUCUGUGGACAGUGGCUCCAGUUCCUUGACCAAUGGGGAUCAAACAUCAUUAGAAACACAGAGAGUAGAUCCACAAAUUUCACAAAGGUUGAGCCUGAUCAGCUCAGAAGAUUUCAACCAGGAACUGAUUAUAAAACCAAUCAAAGUGAAAAAGAAGAAAAAGAAAAAGCCAGAAAAUGGCACCAGGAGAAAUCCUACCUCUCUAGAAAGCACACCAUCUUAUGAACAGCAAGCCUUCGCUGAUAGUCUUCAGAUUCUAAAUGUGAAAUCAUGCUCCAUUAGUUCUAGCCUCCAAGGCAGCACCACAGACUGUUUAAGCAUCUGUUCUGUGUUCAGUAUGGAUACACAAAAUGAUACUGAAGCAUUCAGUGCCCUUCAGUCUCUGGAGUCGAUAGUUGCUCUAACACCGGAUGGCAGCCAGGAGGCACUAGAACUGCUAAAACUUUCUAAUUGUAACAAUGAAGAUUUGUCACCUGUUACGAAUUCCUGCUUGCUUCUUGUGGAAAACAAAAUAGGUAAUGAUGAUAGUGAACACAACCGGAACCUCCUGUCUGAAAAAAUAGAAACCGGCCCAAAACGGAUAUUGCCAGAUGAAGAGCAUUUUCCUCUCCUAUGUAAAACAAAGUGCACUUUAAAUGAAUUACAUCUGCUGGAUACUUCGGCUUCCCUAGAAGAGACCAACUCUGCAAAAGGGAUAUCUGUAAAUAGGGACACUUCUUUUUACACCGAUGAAUUGUUUGUUCAGAGUGAAGUUGCUCAGGUAAUGGAGCAGCAACCAUCUUUACGAUCCAGAGUCCCUGGAAAUCCUCCUGAGCAUUAUCCUGCUGUUUCUGAAAAAGAAAUAAAUCCUCAAGAGAGGCUGCUACCUGGACAAGAUUUCAAAGAAGGAAUCAUCACUGAACAUGGCAGUGGAUGGAUGAGUAACUCUCACAGUGCUAGAGCUGAGAGAUAUGCAUCAAGUGAUGAAGAGGACAUCUAUGGGCAUGGCUUGAUUUAUUCAUCUUCUGAGACAAAUGUGACAGAAAUGGAAGUUUGCCAUCUUCCGCGGGAUAAAGUCAGGUCAAGUGUUGAGAAAGAGAUGCUUUCAAAAUCUGAUCAGUUUGCAGAAAGUUGGAUGGGAUAUGCAGGUCCUGGCUAUGGAAUACUGAGCCUAGUUGUCUCUGAUAAAUACAUUUGGUGCUUGGAUUACAAAGGUGGCCUGUAUUGUAGUGCAUUACCCAGUGCUGGGCUGCGUUGGCAGAAGUUUGAAGAUAAUGUCCAGCAGAUGGCAGUCUCUCCUUCAGGGGCUCUUUUAUGGAAGAUUGAGCAAAAAACCAAUAAAGCUUUUGCCUGUGGCAAAGUAACUAUCAGAGGAAAACGUCACUGGUAUGAGGCUUUACCUCAAGUAGCAUUUGUAUCCUUGAGUGAUGACACAGCCUGGAUAAUCCGAACAAAUGGUGAUCUGUAUUUACAGACAGGCCUCAGCGUAGAUCGUCCCUGUGCCAGGGCAGUAAAAGUAGACUGUCUAUAUCAACUAUCACAGAUUACAGCCAGAAAUAAUAUAAUUUGGGCAUUAACGGAGCAACGUGUACUUCUCUUUCGUGAAGGUGUAAGCAGUUUGUGUCCUGAAGGAGAGCACUGGAAAUGUGAUAUCAUAAGUGAAAUACAAGGUCUAGAGCCAGUGUGUAUUACUCUUGGAGACCAGCAGACCAUCUGGAUUUUAGAUGUCCAUGGGAACCUGUGGUUUAGAACUGGUGUUGUUUCAAAGAAACCACAAGGGGAUGACAACCACUGGUGGCAAGUAAGCAUUACCGAUUAUGUUGUGUUUGACCAGAGCGGCCUUUUCCAGACAAUAAUCCAUGCAACACAAACAGUAGCAACAGCAGCCCAGGCUCCUGUUGAGAAAGUGGCAGACAAACUGCGCACAACUUUCUGGUCACAACAACUUCAGUGUCAACCAAGCCUACUUGCAGUCAAUAGCAGCGGUGUCUGGAUUUCCUCUGGGAAGAAUGAAUUUCAUGUAGCAAAGGGAAGCCUCAUAGGUACAUAUUGGAAUAAUGUUGUGCCUCGGGGCACUGCUUCAGCUACAAAAUGGGCUUUUGUGUUAGCUUCUGCAGCUCCAACAAAAGAAGGAAGUUUCUUGUGGUUGUCCCAAAGUAGCAAGGACCUGUUUUGUGUUAGUGAUCAGAAUCCUCAGUUCCAUCCUUCAACUGUUCAGCUCCCUUCUGAUAGUGAAAUGGUCUACUAUUCAGCUUGCCGGGAUGCAAUAUGGAGCUUGAAUAAUCUGGGACAGGUCUUCAUAAGGACACUUUCACCAAAUUGCCCAACAGGAAUGCAUUGGACCAAACUGGACCUUACUCAGUUAGGUGCUGUGACACUUACAAGCUUAGCAUGUGGAAAUCAGCACAUCUGGGCCUGUGACAGCUAUGGUGGGAUUUAUUUCCGAGUUGGAACUCAGCCUCUGAAUCCAAAUUUGAUGCUGCCUGCAUGGAUAAUGAUUGAGCCACCCAUCCAGUGAUGGGGAUGAAGUGCACAUACAGCCUAGGAUUUCUUUGAAAUAUGAAGCUCUGCAAGUAUAGUUUUCUCCCAUUUGAUGUAUUUCCUAACUUACAAAUCAAUUUGCCAAUGAAGUGCUACAUUUUCUUACUCAUUUUAACACUCCAAAAUUAUGUUCUGCUGGCCAUACUUACACAAUCAUAAAUCUGCAACCUAAAGAUAGUGUCAUCUUGCUCAAAUUUUCUCAAGUUUCUUAGAUUAAUUUAGCCUUACCUCUGCUGUUGAGUCUGGCCUGGGGAAUAACUGGUAAUUAAAUGAUUACUGAAGAAUGUGAUCUAUUCCCUUCAUUGGUUCUUUUGGUGGUUAUGGGAUGGCUCUGGUUUUCUCCCAUGUGAAAACAAAUAUAAUAUAUAUAAUAUAUUUGUUUUCUAUCCUGCUUGUAUUGUUCAUAAAUUAAGAACAGUAAAUGUCAUACAGGGAAUAACUAGGAUAUUGAAGAGUUUUUUUAUAACACUAUAAACUCAUUCUGUUUUUUUCUUAAAAUUACAAGCAAGCUGGAUAGCUUCCUUUUACUCUAUGAGAACUGCACAUUUUAAAAUCACUGGUUAUUUUUGAUUGAAAAUUUUAUUUUCUACACUAGCUUUCAAAAAUCUCAAAAGUAACCAAUUAUCUGUGCUAAUUCAGUAACAUUUAUAUAAUUCAGCACUAUAUACUGUAGUUUUACAGAAAUUCUUCUUGGGAUUUACAAAUUAAGCCUGAUUUCUUUUUUCCUUUUACAAAUUCAAGUAUUAUAUGGCUAUAAUAGCAGAGGAAGUUUUAUUUUUUUAAUAGUUAUUAUAUGACACUGUUUAGAACCAUAGAAUUCUAAAUUCAGUCAGUAUUUGCAAAGUAUCACAUCAUUAUUGAUCAAUUUAUCUUGUGCUUAAAGCACUUCAAUCAUAUACGCACACUUCAUAUUUUUAAAUUAAUAUAGGGUUCCAUUCUAAAAUGACUUACGGUAAAUGUUUAUCAAAAUAGAAACUGCUAUCAUUUUUCCCCCUUCGCUUCUCAUAUCUUUACGCCUCCCCCCUCCACACAUUUCCAGACAUUUGAAGGGACCUUUCUAUACUAUAUGAAAUAGAGCUGGUAAGACAAGCAUUUCUCUUCUCAAUUUAAGUUAACUGAUCUUAAAAUCCAAAAAGCAAUUUGAAGAAGUUCUGAGCUACUUCAGCGAUCUAGAACAUGCUAUAUUACAUUGGAGAUCAGGAAACUUUCUUCAACAGGCAGGUUUUUUAAGGGAUGCAUAGAUUAUUUUAACUCAAAAUCUAAGCUCCAUUUAUCUAUCAGUGUUGGCUUAAUCAGUAAAUGAUACAAUAUUGAAUAUUACAUUAUAGUAUUAUGUUAUGAUCUCUACUGCUUUAUCAAGGAGUUACUGUAAUUGGAUAGCCUUAAGCAAUAUAAGCCCUCAGUUUAUUAUUGCCUAGGGCUAAAAGUUUAAACAUAAUCUCUCAUUAUUGCAGAAAUAUAAAAAUUAACAAAUGAAUUGAUAAUUCCAGGAGUAAAGGCAUUAGCCUAGAACAGGGGUGUCAAACUGCCGGCCCGCAGGCCGGUUUCAUCAUACCAAAGCCGCGCCCACCCCAUUGCCGGCAAUGCAAAAAGUCAUGAUGUGGCAAGUUUGACAACUGUGGCCUAGAAGCUGGGAGACUGUAACGUCCACUUUAGGCAUGAAACCAGCUGUGUGACCUUAAACUAGCCACAUUCUGUCAGCCAUAGGAAAGAAGGGCAUUUCUGCUUGCCGAUAAACUGCAGGAACAGAAUUUAUCAUUAUUGCAGAAUUAUUAUAAUUAACAAACGAAUUGACAGUUAGAGCCACUGAGAUGAAACAACUUCUGUUUGUUGAAAGCUAGGGCAGCAUUAAACAAGAGAAAAAUGAUACUUAAUAUAACACUUAUUGCCUUGUUUAUGGAGAAAUGAUAAAUGAUGCUGUUUCCAAUGUGGGAUUUCCCCCCCCCACACACACACAAACACAUAUGUCUCAAUAUGUGAACAUGAAGGCCAUGAUUUAUUUGCAUAGGCAAGAAAACUUUAAGCAGGGAAAGAAAACUGAAAUAUAAUUUAUACUCUGGGAAUAAACUUUUAAUAGUCCAAUCUGAGAGAAUGCUGAAGUAAACAGGAGUGUUUAAGUUAGCAGGAUAUAUAGAAUCUUUCACAUCUAAGAUUUUUUAAGACCUGUUGAUGUUUGUGUUAACAAUUCUGUUCUUGAAGCAUACCAUCAUAUAAACAGUUGCUUUCCCAUUCUGUCUUAAAACUUCCUAAAAGGGGGCAAAUGCACCAACCUAAGAUUUUAGAAUAAAUGGAAGAACUCACCUUAUUUAUUUUUUUUUCAAAUAAAGUAGAAAGCGUAGACUAACGCCUUCAUGCCAUAGAGCAUGGGUCUAUUAAAAGGUUUUAAGAUGACACUCAUGUGUCAGUGGGAGCACAUGUUCCGAGUAAAUUUUCCUUCGGGUACUGAAUUUUACUUUGAAAAUGAAGUAUGUAAAAUGAGAUUGCAGGGUAAGCUCAGUGAGGGAAUAUUCUCAUUAUAGCAGUGAUUGGGCAGUACUAUCCUUGAAGUUUGAUGGAGUUGCAAAUUGUAUUUAUUUAAAAUGAAACCUUACUACCUUUAGCAGCUGGUUUUUCUCUUACUCAUUUUAUUUUCUCCUUAAUUAUCUACUUACUAUAUUUAUGUAUGUGACUAAUUCCUGCUAUUAAUUUUUUAUUGGUACAACAAUUUUAGCUUACUUUUCUUUAAAAAAUAAUUCCAAAUUGUUGUGAUAAAACCAACCAAUAAAGCCAUUGAAAAUUUAAAACAAUACAACAUUUUGAAACCAACAGUCAUAAAACAGGAUCAAAAAAAUUGAAAUGUGCUAAUACUGUAGUAUAAGGUCAGCCAAAAGGCUAAGUCAGUCAAUAGAUCUUUAACUGUACUAAAAGCUAACAAACUUGGUGCUAGCCAUAAUUAAACAAAGAAACAAUUCCAUCAUCAGUGUGCCCCUCUCUCUUCCCCUCCCCCCUCUCUCUCACACACACCAAUGCUUCCCAAUGUCAAACUUCAGUGUCUUCAAUAUAGAUAUGCAUAACAUAAUAAAAUAAUAUACGUAUAGAUUUUUAUAUAAAUAUGGCCCUAUUUCAGCAAGAUUAAAUUUAGAACACUUUAAGGGGAGAUAAACAACUUGUAGCUCAGAGCUGUUUAUGCAUAUCAGUUGCAACCCUCCCCCAGGUUCUCAGUAGCAUAAUGGUUAAUUUUAGUGGCUAUUUUAUUACUGGAUGUUGGUGGCACUAAUUUUAGCUGUUUUAAGUAUGGAAAUGUGAAAGAUACUUCCCAGGGGGUUACAGUUCCCAUUCUUGCUCUUAAUGUGGUCCUCAAAACUGGUCCAAAAUUACUACAUUCUGGUGAUCCCAUAUGCAGAGGAAUGUAUUGCAGCCUCGAUUCAUAAAAUUGCUGACCUCUGUUUUGGGUCUGUUUUCUAUAUUUUAAAGGAUGAAAUAAUAAUGUAUUUCUUUCUGCUGGACAGGUGAAAAUUGGAAUAGACAGGUGCAAGUAGAAAACUGCAAGAAGGCAACUAUAUUCUUGGCAACCUUCAGUUGGAUUCCUUUUAAACAGUUGAACUUCUGCUCAUGUGGUUUUCAUCCAGGUUCUCAGUUAUAAAAGAGAGAUUAAAUUGUUUUGUGAUUAAAAAAAGGAUUAAAUAGGCUGUUUACUUUUCCCCCCUUUAAAGCUCCUUUGCAUUUAAAAAGUAGGGAUUAGCUAUUUGGAAACAUAAUUUAAGUGAUAAUGUAGAAUUAAUCAGAACUUGAACUUAAGAGUAGCUAGAAUAGCAAGUACCACUUAACUAUUCUGCUUUCUAAUGUUAGUCCCUUUGUUAUCAUAAACAAUAAAUAAAUAAAGGUUUAACAUAUCUUUAUGGUCCACAGCAAAAAAUACCUAGUGAUGAAGGACAUUGAAAAUCCAUAUUUGAAUUUGGACUAUCAAACCAAGCCAGUGGUGGGAUUCAAAUAUGUGAACAACUGGUUCUCUGUGUGGAUGCCGCUUCCGGAAGUCCAUUCUGGGCCUGGGAAAUAAAAAAUUAGCUACCGGUUCUGCUGAAGUGGUGCAAACUGGCUGAAUCCCACCACUGGAUCAAGCUAUAUAUUUCAUCUCUGCUGGAAUAUAAUUAGAGAGCCAGUUUUUUUAUAGUGGUUAAGGUGCCAGGCUAAAACCUAGGGGAAUAUCCGUUCUAGAAAAAAAAAUGGUGUCAGGGUUACCUGUAGCUCUGGGAUCUCAGUUGAAUGAAGUUCAUGAAAGCUUAUGUGGCCUUUUCAGGUUUUCUGUACAAAGUAGUGUGGGAGAUGAAAAUAUAGCCCCCUUCUCAUAUAAUAAGAUAGGGCUAGAACAAACCUGAAAUAGGCCCCCACAGAAGUGAUUUGAAGCUUUAACUUGAACUUUAUGCUGUUUCUCAAUAAGGACGUACUAUUUGUAAUCUGCUGAGUUUUGUGCAAUAGAAAUUGUAAAGUAGGUAAUUCUGUGUAUAUUUAGAACAUAAGGACUGGAACAGUAAGAAAUAGGGAACUGAAAGUAGCUGAUGGAUGCGAGUUCCAAUGUACACGGAUAUAUGUGGAUAGUUAUGUUCAGCAGAAGGUCAACAAAAGUCAGCAGACCAUCUGACUACAGUCUUAGAAUGGGAAAGGGUAUAAAGAGUUGGGUCUGGACCUGAUUGAUUUGCCAUUGGCCUGUAGCUGUCCUUUUGGAAUUGCUAUACCAUAUAGUCCUCAUUGCAAUGGGUUAUUAAUGCAGCCGGAGUCCACUUGAUCAGUGUGUACUCAAGUCCUAAUGAUCAGAGUCUAUGGGCCAUUGACAACAAAUGGAAUGUUCAUGUGCGCACUGGGAUUACAGAGGAAAUGCCAGUAGGCACAAAUUGGGACCAGGUUCC
Molecule: RNA transcript, 8950 nt
Organism: Crotalus tigris (Tiger rattlesnake)
Lineage: Eukaryota; Metazoa; Chordata; Lepidosauria; Squamata; Viperidae
Gene: TECPR2
Gene name: tectonin beta-propeller repeat containing 2
Exons: 19
Source: RefSeq, a predicted model, not a curated record